GGAUCAGAGAGGUAAGUCACACAGCUAGUUAGUGGCACAGCUGAAGCCUGAACUGGAGCUUUCUGAUUGCAGUGGGAGAACCUUCAGGAGGCAGUGCCUCUGAAACUGGCCUGCUGCUGAUCAUAGCUGCCUGACGACACCAUUGCAGCUGAGGUCAUGGAGCUGGAGGAGAAGAAACAGAGCCACAGUUUGGAGGCUUUUCAGCGAUCCAGGCCAUCCCUGGCUCAGAUGAAGUGCUGGCCAUGUGGGGAGCUCUUUGAUAGACUUGGUUGGGGAUGGGGCCAUAAGAUAUGUUUUGGACAGACACUGGUCUGAUUGGGGAGGAGGCACCCACACCCCCUUGACAAACCUCUGAAACGGGAAAACAACAGGCACAUGUGUGGAUAAGAAAUAUGGUGCACUCCAAGUAGAAUCACAGGAUCAUGGAAUUCUGAGC
Dromiciops gliroides (monito del monte) is the source of this 436-nucleotide long non-coding RNA. RefSeq lists it as uncharacterized. The transcript is spliced from 3 exons. Lineage: Eukaryota; Metazoa; Chordata; Mammalia; Microbiotheria; Microbiotheriidae. The record is from RefSeq and is a predicted model, not a curated record.